RNAcentral lists this long non-coding RNA (668 nucleotides) under Elaeis guineensis (African oil palm). Its description in RNAcentral is "long non-coding RNA (EGUI_LNC008857)". The record is from RNAcentral. Lineage: Eukaryota; Viridiplantae; Streptophyta; Magnoliopsida; Arecales; Arecaceae.
GUCACAGGAGGCAAAGGAGAUAGAGCCCCAUGAGAAGUGGAUGCACCAGCCCCUCUAGCUCUCUUCUUUUCACAGGCUAAGUACCUCCGACGGGCAUCCCUGGCAAUGGUAUUCCGCUCUUUCAUCCAUCUCUUAAUUAAUUCUAAAGGUGGUAGAUUUGAAGGCGACGACAUGGCAGCAGACGGAGAAGGGGACUUCUUACCACAGGAGUGGAGAUCCCUAUACUCUUUGGCCCUUUAUUUAUAAGCGUUAGCAGUUAGACCAAUCACCAAUCGGCACUUCCCAGGAGUUACUGACCAAGCGAUUAAUGACAUGCCUUCUACAAAGAGGAAGUAAAUUCCUACGAUGCUUCGCAAAACAAAAUAUGCCCACGUGGUGCAUCUUCAUAGACCCUGUGUUGCCUCCCAGGCAUGAUCUUAUUAGAUGAGUCAUUGAUCGCUAUUCUCCAUAAUCUUUCAUAUUUAAGGGAGCAGAACAAGGUUAUCAUCUACUUAAAUUAUCUCAGAUCGACAUGAAUAAGUUCAUAAAGCAGGAGUAUGACAAAAGACUACUCAUUUUAUUCCUUUUGAGAUUCUCUUACAAUGACCCUGAAACAUGAAGAAAGAGAAAUACAAAAAUUAUAGUGCGACAUCUAGAGCUGAGGUGCCAAUCACUGAGACAUCCACCGC